AACCCUAUUCGUGUAUGUAUAAGUUCGUCUGGCUAUUUGACAAGCGAUUUUUCACACGUUGCCCGACGAGCUGAGAAAAUUUUAUUCAAGACAAAUUUCCCCGGUUUUCGAGGCGUGCAAGUGGUUUUUAAACAUCUAAAUACUGACCCAGUGAUCUAAAGCAAUUGAGAAUGCCGGAAACAGGCAAGAAAAUAAGCGAGUUGCGCGUGUGCGACUUGAAGGCAGAGUUGGAAAAGCGCAAGCUGGAGACGGUGGGCCCGAAGGCGGCGCUCAUCGACCGCCUGGAAAAGGCAUUAAAAGAGGAGGGCCAUGACCCGGCUACUCACCAGAUUACUGUUGGGGUUAGAGGCAAGAAGCCCCUCCCAAUGCCCAUGAAGGAGCCUCUGGCCGACAUUAAGAUCAAGGAGGAGCCCCUCGACGUCGAGGAGGAGGAGCACACUCAGCAGGGGGAUGACUACGAGAACGGCAGCGACUUUGCCCAUCACGCCGAUGAAGAUGGGCACGAGAUCGACCAGGUGGGCGAUGUUGACGAUGUGUGUGUGAUUCUCGAUGACGAUGAUGAGGAGGACGAAGAGGAAUACGACGAAGAGAAUCAGAAUGGUGAUGGCGAGGGAGAGGCCGAGGCCGAGGGGGAGGCUCAGGAGGAGGCCGAGAACAAUGGCACCGCUGGCAUUCAGGGAGAGGAGGAGAAUACCGGCGAUACCGUCAACAUGGACAACGACGAGUCCAUCAACCUAACAAUUGGUGAGGACGAACAGAAGCUGCUCCACGACGAGGCUCCCGACGACAAGUCUAUUAAAUCGGUUAAACCGGCUGCCAAGUCCAGCUCCAAAGACGCCGAUAAGAAGAGUGACGAGAGCGCGCGCUCCAAGAAAAAGGAUGAGAAAACUUCUGACAAACGAGAUGCCAGCGAUUCAAAAUCUGGAAAAUCUUCGAACCAAAAGGACGACAAAGGAUUAUGGAGUCCCGUGACGAUACUGGCAAGCGCGGCGUAGCCAAGCGCUCCGACGACCGCUACGGAGACGUAUCUGACCGCAAGCGUACGGCUAUUUUUGAGGCCCCACCGCCACCCAGAUUCGAUGCCAAUCUAGUCAGCUCUCGCAGCACUUACGAUAAGAAGCACGAUGACUACGGUUCGUCGUCGUCUUCGAAGCGCGGCCUGGAUGACUAUUCCAGCUCCAACAAGCGCCUGGACUACGGCAACAAGCGCAACGACUACGGAAGCUCCUCCGGCUCCAAGCGCGGAGCAGUGGACGACUAUUCCAACGUGCCCAAUAAGCGUUCGAGUGGCAACGACUACAGCGGAUCCAGUUCUAAGCACGACUACUCGUCGUCCAGCAAGCGCGAUGACUAUAAGCGGGAGGUGGAGGUUCGUCACCUUCCACUCGCCGGCACCGCCGGUGGCUCCAGCAGCUCCUACCUACACAAGAACAACUCCGGAGGCGGGGCCGGAUCCUACGUCCACAA
Molecule: unclassified non-coding RNA, 1467 nt
Filed under: Drosophila ananassae
Lineage: Eukaryota; Metazoa; Arthropoda; Insecta; Diptera; Drosophilidae
Description: GF16243
Source: RNAcentral